RNAcentral lists this ribosomal RNA (1048 nucleotides) under Levilactobacillus brevis. RNAcentral describes it as "bacterial SSU rRNA". It matches the Rfam family "Bacterial small subunit ribosomal RNA", at positions 44 to 1080 of the family's 1533-position model. The record is from RNAcentral. Lineage: Bacteria; Bacillati; Bacillota; Bacilli; Lactobacillales; Lactobacillaceae.
GAGCUUCCGUUGAAUGACGUGCUUGCACUGAUUUCAACAAUGAAGCGAGUGGCGAACUGGUGAGUAACACGUGGGAAAUCUGCCCAGAAGCAGGGGAUAACACUUGGAAACAGGUGCUAAUACCGUAUAACAACAAAAUCCGCAUGGAUUUUGUUUGAAAGGUGGCUUCGGCUAUCACUUCUGGAUGAUCCCGCGGCGUAUUAGUUAGUUGGUGAGGUAAAGGCCCACCAAGACGAUGAUACGUAGCCGACCUGAGAGGGUAAUCGGCCACAUUGGGACUGAGACACGGCCCAAACUCCUACGGGAGGCAGCAGUAGGGAAUCUUCCACAAUGGACGAAAGUCUGAUGGAGCAAUGCCGCGUGAGUGAAGAAGGGUUUCGGCUCGUAAAACUCUGUUGUUAAAGAAGAACACCUUUGAGAGUAACUGUUCAAGGGUUGACGGUAUUUAACCAGAAAGCCACGGCUAACUACGUGCCAGCAGCCGCGGUAAUACGUAGGUGGCAAGCGUUGUCCGGAUUUAUUGGGCGUAAAGCGAGCGCAGGCGGUUUUUUAAGUCUGAUGUGAAAGCCUUCGGCUUAACCGGAGAAGUGCAUCGGAAACUGGGAGACUUGAGUGCAGAAGAGGACAGUGGAACUCCAUGUGUAGCGGUGGAAUGCGUAGAUAUAUGGAAGAACACCAGUGGCGAAGGCGGCUGUCUAGUCUGUAACUGACGCUGAGGCUCGAAAGCAUGGGUAGCGAACAGGAUUAGAUACCCUGGUAGUCCAUGCCGUAAACGAUGAGUGCUAAGUGUUGGAGGGUUUCCGCCCUUCAGUGCUGCAGCUAACGCAUUAAGCACUCCGCCUGGGGAGUACGACCGCAAGGUUGAAACUCAAAGGAAUUGACGGGGGCCCGCACAAGCGGUGGAGCAUGUGGUUUAAUUCGAAGCUACGCGAAGAACCUUACCAGGUCUUGACAUCUUCUGCCAAUCUUAGAGAUAAGACGUUCCCUUCGGGGACAGAAUGACAGGUGGUGCAUGGUUGUCGUCAGCUCGUGUCGUGAGAUGUUGGGU